UACGUAGGGCGCAAGCGUUAUCCGGAAUUAUUGGGCGUAAAGAGCUCGUAGGCGGUUUGUCGCGUCUGCCGUGAAAGUCCGGGGCUCAACUCCGGAUCUGCGGUGGGUACGGGCAGACUAGAGUGAUGUAGGGGAGACUGGAAUUCCUGGUGUAGCGGUGAAAUGCGCAGAUAUCAGGAGGAACACCGAUGGCGAAGGCAGGUCUCUGGGCAUUAACUGACGAUGAGGAGCGAAAGCAUGGGGAGCGAACAGG
Molecule: ribosomal RNA, 253 nt
Filed under: uncultured bacterium
Lineage: Bacteria
Description: partial 16S ribosomal RNA
Rfam family: Bacterial small subunit ribosomal RNA
Source: RNAcentral